GACAUAACCACCUCCGAGCAAACUAAGCAGCCGCCAUUUAAUUUGGCAACAAAAGUUUGUCUGCAUAACACCGACCUUGGAAAUUGUCAAAAGAGCAAAAGAUAUCCCACUUGUGUUUGGAUCAAAUAAGAAAGAAUAGCGCUAUUGAAAGGCAGUCGCUGAUAAUGUUAGCAGCAAUCAGCGCCUUGGAGCAGAAAGUGCAAACGCUGACCGAGAAAAAUCAAGCGCUGGAGCGCAGGUUUACGCAGAAUACUACAAGUUAAAGGGAAUGCAAAAGCAGCUCGCCGAGGAGAGUGAAUUAUCUUAGGCAAAAGUUUCGGUGGCAGCGAAUUUUAUUUGCGCGAAUCCACAAAUGUGGUGCGGUCGAUGUACCUGAGUUUAUCUCCCGCAGGCGCGCCAUACUGAAUGUGUACAUUGCCACCGAAACAGCAGCCUAAAACUUUGCAAAGUAAUCGCAGCUCUUGGCAGAGCAAAUAUGCGGCACUUAAAAAACAAUAGUGGUAUUAAGCGAACUGAGAAAGUGGCCUGGCACUCUGACAACAGUCGUUGCUUGAGCUGGUCUGCUCUUUUGCCAGGCCACUUGCUCACAUUGGUGAAUACCACUAAUGUAAUUAAGUAUAAGGAAGCGCGCGAGGCUGAACUGAACGAUGUCAAGGAACAGCAACGCGAUAUGUUUUACAUACAUAUGUUCAUAUGUAUAUGCAGACGCAGGGCAAAGUUGUUGAAAGGCAAAAUUGUUGGUGGCAGUGGCAGUGUUGAACAGAUGCGGCUAACACUUCCGACAGGCAAAGCGGGCAGGCGCAAGAAAAAAAGCAUACAUAUACAUAUGUAUGAGCGGAAAUAAAAUAAAUGCUAUUAUCAUGUUAGAUAAUAUUUUAGAAUCAAAUAAAAACCUUUUUUAUGUGAUUGGAGACAUAAACGUA
Molecule: long non-coding RNA, 923 nt
Organism: Rhagoletis pomonella (apple maggot)
Lineage: Eukaryota; Metazoa; Arthropoda; Insecta; Diptera; Tephritidae
Exons: 3
Source: RefSeq, a predicted model, not a curated record